GGCGGCCGCGGGAAUUUCGAUUUUUUUGGUUGAUUCCUGCCGGAGGCCCACUGCUAUCAGAGUUCGAUUAAGCCAUGCGAGUUGAGAGGUGCAAGACCUCGGCAUACUGCUCAGUAACACGUGGACAACCUACCCUACAGAGGGGGAUAACCCCGGGAAGCUGGGGAUAAUACCCCAUAGACUAUGGAUGCUGGAAUGCUUUGUAGUUGAAAGGUCCGCCGCUGUAGGAUGGGUCUGCGGCCGAUUAGGUUGUUGUUGGGGUAACGGCCCAACAAGCCUGUAAUCGGUACGGGUUGUGGGAGCAAGAGCCCGGAGAUGGAUUUUGAGACACGAAUCCAGGCCCUACGGGGCGCAGCAGGCGCGAAAACUUUACAAUGCGGGAAACCGUGAUAAGGGAACUCUGAGUGCCCGUAAAAUCGGGCUGUCCAUCAGUUUAAAUAACUGGUGAAGAAAGGGCCGGGCAAGACCGGUGCCAGCCGCCGCGGUAAUACCGGCGGCUCGAGUGGUGGCCACUAUUACUGGGCUUAAAGCGUUCGUAGCUGGUUUGUUAAGUCUCUGGGGAAAUCUUCCGGCUUAACCGGAAGGCGUCUCAGGGAUACUGGCAGACUAGGGACCGGGAGAGGUGAGGGGUACUCCAGGGGUAGGAGUGAAAUCCUGUAAUCCUCGGGGGACCACCUGUGGCGAAGGCGCCUCACCAGAACGGCUCCGACAGUGAGGGACGAAAGCUGGGGGAGCAAACCGGAUUAGAUACCCGGGUAGUCCCAGCUGUAAACGAUGCGCGUUAGGUGUAUCGGUGACCACGAGUCACCGAGGUGCCGAAGAGAAAUCGUGAAACGUGCCGCCUGGGAAGUACGGUCGCAAGGCUGAAACUUAAAGGAAUUGGCGGGGGAGC
RNAcentral lists this ribosomal RNA (892 nucleotides) under uncultured archaeon. RNAcentral's name for it is "partial 16S ribosomal RNA". It matches the Rfam family "Archaeal small subunit ribosomal RNA", at positions 1 to 877 of the family's 1478-position model. The record is from RNAcentral.